UACGUAGGGGGCAAGCGUUGUCCGGAAUCAUUGGGCGUAAAGCGCGUGUAGGCGGUUCGGUAAGUCUGCUGUGAAAGUCCAGGGCUCAACCCUGGAAAGCCGGUGGAUACUGUCGGACUAGAGUGCGGAAGAGGCGAGUGGAAUUCCCGGUGUAGCGGUGAAAUGCGCAGAUAUCGGGAGGAACACCAAUUGCGAAGGCAGCUCGCUGGGACGUUACUGACGCUGAGACGCGAAAGCGUGGGGAGCAAACAGG
Molecule: ribosomal RNA, 253 nt
Filed under: uncultured bacterium
Lineage: Bacteria
Description: partial 16S ribosomal RNA
Rfam family: Bacterial small subunit ribosomal RNA
Source: RNAcentral